GAUGAAGAACGCAGCGAAAUGCGAUAAGUAAUGUGAAUUGCAGAAUUCAGUGAAUCAUCGAAUCUUUGAACGCACAUUGCGCCCGCCAGUAUUCUGGCGGGCAUGCCUGUUCGAGCGUCAUUACAACCCUCAGGCCCCCGGGCCUGGCGUUGGGGAUCGGCGGAGCCCCCCGUGGGCAUACGCCGUCCCCCAAAUGCAGUGGCGGUCCCGCCGCAGCUUCCAUCGCGUAGUAGCUAACACCUCGCGACUGGAGAGCGGCGCGGCCACGCCGUAAAACACCCAACUCUUCUGAAGUUGACCUCGAAUCAGGUAGGAAUACCCGCUGAACUUAAGCAUAUCAAUAAGCGGAGGA
Molecule: unclassified non-coding RNA, 352 nt
Filed under: soil metagenome
Description: partial contains 5.8S ribosomal RNA, internal transcribed spacer 2, and large subunit ribosomal RNA
Rfam family: 5.8S ribosomal RNA (bases 1-120)
Source: RNAcentral